GUAACCCUUUCCAUAUAACUCGACCAGUAAAAUAAAAGGAAUUGCUAACUGGCUACCUGCUGAUCUACCCUAUAAUUCACCAACUUGUUUUACUCAUCUUUCACUCUUACACUCUUACAUUCAUCACUCAACGGUUGAGAUCAUCCCUGUGAAAUCCAACGCUCCAUGUCAUCUCCACCUCCCACCUCGCACCAUAACCCCAACCCGACUCCCGUCUUCCACGCGAUUCUUCCUCCCCUUUCCUUCCCGUCUUCCACGCUACAGAUUGCGCCUCCUCAAUUCCUCAUUGUCUCGCGAAUUUUUGCGCCUAGGUCGCCCUCACUCGAAGCGACGACACCCUCGUUUCCCUCUCUGCCCACCAUGCCACGUGCAAGUCCUUUGCCGAUGACCAUGGAGAGACCGUCAAAAUCUGUUGGUCGCCGUCACCGAUACAGCCGAUAGCGCCUCCUUUCCCUAUUGAUCUGUUGCUAGAGAAUGGGGCGAGGGUCAAGCGCAAUGCCCAAGCCCAGACUCCAACCCAACCCACAAAUCGUUUGCACCCUUCUGCACCGAUCGCCGUAACCGGUCGGCUGCCAUAAGCGGUUCUCUGUCUACCCAACUCGCCGGUCAAUAGAUCGCAACGCCCCACCACAUUUCGUCCCUGGUCGGCUGCUGCUUGCUCUUCCACUAAUUUGAUCUUGCAAUUUCAAAAUCAUAAUGCUUCAGCAGUGGAAUUUGCGGAUAAGGUCAGUGAUGCUUGGUGUCAAGGUACGCCCACUGGGCUUCCACACGAACCAUGGCGAGGUGCUGUUCCGCUGCUGGGACAUGGUAAAAUCUUUUAGACCAAACCAUUUGAUGUGCUAGCUUAUAUCGUGCUUGUCUAUACCUGCUAAAAUCACUUCUACAAAACUGUAUGAUGGUUCCGGUAAGAAAGUCAAAUCGAUCGGUAAUGUUCAGAAUUGAGAAACAUGAAUAUUGAUCUGUGCAGUCUUCAGGAAGUGUUGAGUUCUGUGUGAGUAAAUGAGUAUGUAAGUAGGGGAGAAGCACUGCAAGUAGUGAUUUGUCUAUGGCAUAUAUCAUCAUGAUCUGCUCCUUGUAUAAAGAGCUUCAGAAUUCAGAUUAAUUUUUUUAGAGAAAUAAUUCAGAUUAAUUUCACAAACUAGAUUGAUCAGGGUUUUGCCGAACCUUGUCUAUCUUAACUUAGUGCAAAUAUCAGUUUGUCAAA
Molecule: long non-coding RNA, 1204 nt
Organism: Oryza sativa Japonica Group (Japanese rice)
Lineage: Eukaryota; Viridiplantae; Streptophyta; Magnoliopsida; Poales; Poaceae
Source: RefSeq, a predicted model, not a curated record